Molecule: non-coding RNA, 6511 nt
Organism: Xyrichtys novacula (pearly razorfish)
Lineage: Eukaryota; Metazoa; Chordata; Actinopteri; Labriformes; Labridae
Source: the annotation of a GenBank genome assembly
UUGCUUCGGUCUGACUCAAAUGAGGCGUCUGAGCCAAUAAGCCGCCAGCCGCCGAAUCUAUGACGAAUCCUGACAAGAGAGAGAGAGAGAGAGAGAGAGACAGAGAGAGAGAGAGAGGUUGUGUGAAUCAGAUGGAAAAUAAUGCAAUUAAUCAAGGUCAAACAAACGUACGGUAAUGACGGUCUUUUUAAUUCUCGUUAGUGAGCGUUCCCCUGAGAACGACGUGAUGUGAGGUAAUCACAAUGAUUUACUCAAAGUCCUGAAUUAUUCAGCGGGUGACAAACACACUCAUGGAAAAGAGAAACAGCAGAUACAUUCACUCCUUUCUCCUCUCAUCUUCUCAUGAAUAAUUAACGGCUCAGUCUCAUUGGUUCCUCCUCCUCCUCCUCAUCCUCUCACACGUACAGAUCCAGCUCAGACUAGAUCGUCUUCUUCCUCCACUUCCAGGACAGAAACACUUUGAGGACGGUGUCCUGCUGCUGCUGCUGUGAGCGUCAUUAAUCCAGACCGGGGGCUGUUUGUCGACUCGGAGGACUUCACACCUGAACUCUCAGGUCGGCCUCAGGCGUGGAGGCGCAACAAAUAUGAUGAAGACGGCAAUAACUCUGCCAUCCCAACAGUAAACCACACACAAACUCAGGCUGAGUCUUAGUUCAGAGUCCCAAAACUACCCUGCCCCUUUUUCAAGCAUGAGUUUUGCACACUUCAUGGCCUUACACACCGGGAAUGAUGCAAAUAUACGACGUGAAAUUAAGACAUAUUCUGAGAUGAAUUUUGACGCGUCCCGGGUGGAAGCGAGAAGACUGCCCCAACAGCAGACUGAGUGUUUGUCAGUUCUGAUUAGACUCUAGUGUUGAGAUGUCUGUCUGUCAUGUUAGCAUGGACUGAGUCUGGGUCAGAACCAGAUAAACACAUGAAGCUAUGCUAACAACCGUUAGCUUACGUUAGCACAGAUGAAAGUUCAAACAAAGACGUUUAUCAAACUGUUAAAGCUCACAAACCAUCGUCAGAUGAGAAAUCCGACGCUAUGACUCUCCACAAGUUGUCCUUCAGGUCGUUAUCUUUGUAAUGUUUGUGUCUUUGAUCAAAAAUCACUCUGUUCUCCGACAUGUAAACAAUCAGCCGUCUGCCAUGUUGGACACACCGGAGUUCUCCUCUUAAACGGGACCUGCUUGAUGGACAGCACAGCGUUCUCCGGUAAAUCACUCGGUAGGGGGUUCGCAGUCGCCAUUCCUACAUCUUCUGUCAUUAGGAACCAAGUGCAGAGUGAGGGGCGGACCGGCUUCCAGUAGAGCAGCUAGCUACUUCAGACGCAUAUUGUAGCUAUGCGUCCGUUUGUGACCAAUCUGGUCAUGAAUGUGCUUACAUCAUUCAAAUUAGGCACGCUUGGGUGCUGGUCCUUGGCGCCCCUUAAGGAUUUUUUAAAUUUGGCUAGGAUAAGCUAACUUUUUUAAGCAGAACUGUGAUCUGAGCAUGCUCGAGACAACAGACGUUCCGAUUCCGCCAUGACACUGGGUGGAGAGAUCGUAGUAUUUGUGUCUUUUAUCAAAAAUCACUCUGUUCUCCGACACGUAAACAAUCAGCCGGUCGGCCAUGUUGGAUAUACCGGUGAAUCAGACGUCGCAACAACACGAAAUCUGAUUGGUCAGAAGUGGACACACAGAAUGCAAAACUUUAGAAAAAUCACUUAUUCGCUUAUUCCCGUUCCCGGGGUCUUCAGGGUCAUCCUGGACAAGUCACCAGUUCAUUGCAGGGCUGACAUAUCGAGACAAACAACCAUCCUCGCUCACAUUCACACCUACAGGCAAUUUGGAAGUGGCCAGUUAACCUAACCCCACUUAGACAUAUUUUUGGGAUGUGGGAGGAAAGCGGAGUACCAGGAGUAAACCCACGCAGACACAGGGAGAACAUGCAAACUCCACACAGAAACGCCCUGAGCCGGAUACAAACCCCGGACUUUCUUGCUGUGAGGCUGAAAAAUCGACUGUGAAACGAAAAAUAAAUGCUGCAAUAUCGCAGGACGGGAAAACGUCGCUGAUGUGAACGCUCCUGGUGUGAAAGGACCUUCCGUCAAGACGCGAGCCUGAGGGCGGGGACAUUUGGCGGCUCAACCAGGAAGUCCUCUGAAGGGUAGACCAUCCCAACUCACAAAAGCCAAACCAUCUCACCCAGGGUACUCAAGUCCACAUAACGGCAGUGUAUGUGUAUGGUUUUGGCGGCUUCUCUUCCACGGCUCAUGUGGGUGUUACUUUUCACACCGCCUCACAGUCUUUACGGUAAAAUGCUGCACACUUCCUCUCUUUGAGAAAUAAGAACGAGAAAACAACAACAACCAGGAGCUCCUUUGUUCGAUGAAGAAAGGCCUUUUCACCUUUGGAGCAUCAAACUCUCACAUGUGUUUCAUAACCAAAGAAAUAAAGUCCCUGUUGGUGUUAUUAACCUCGAACCUUCAGUGUCAUCUAAGCGGGUCGUCUCAGGCCGCCUGCUGUUCACACAACAAACACCCCCCCUGCUGUUCUGUUUUCAGCGGCUGACUGUGAAGAAGAGUUAUCAAUGAUUCAAACCUGGUUUUAACAGAGAGCUGAAACUUUCUCCUCCUCCUCCUCUCGAUUAGUUAAAACAGCGUCCUAUUUUAUAAAAUUCAUGACAUUAAACUUUAAACUGAUUUUUGGAAGUCUUGGGAGAAUCUAAUUUGAACUGAAUUUAUAUGUAAAGAGAGGUUUAAAGGUGGUGAUCAGGGCUCUCAGUAUUCUGAACAUGUACCAGUAGAUGUGCUGGUUCUAAUGAAGACUGAGCAGUUCCCAUUAUGGACAUGGCCGUGUGAUCCGGCAGCAGAAAUGAGGAUUUACAGCCCACCUCCCCCUGAUGUAGAGUGUCAGUUUAUAGAUGCUGCUCGUCAUUGUUCGAUCCUGUCCAUUGUUGUCAGCAGAUUGUUUCUGUGGAUUCAAUACAGAUCCUCCCAUCAGCACAACUCCCACAGAUUCCUGUUUACUGCAUUCACAAUCAAAACAAUGGACAGAGGGUGUUGGCCGGCUCGAACCCGGAGAAUUUCAAUCCCAAGGCUGAAGCGCGCAGAUGAGAUAACAACAAGCCUGAUGGAUUUAUUCACUGUAACACCCAAAGGGAGUGAAGCGAACCGCUCUGCGCUUCAGAGCAACGGUUCCCGAUCAUUUUUACACUAAAUGGGUUUUCAGGUACAAAGAGCGAUGAAACACUGGCCCCGUUUACAUGGGUAGUUUUCCUCAAUCUGAUUGAAAUCAAUCGGAUUAAGUGAAUCUGAUUCCAUCUGUAUACACUCACCGGCCACUUUAUUAGGUACACCUGUCCAACUGCUCGUUAACACUUAAUUUCUAAUCAGCCAAUCACAUGCAGCAACUUAGUGCAUUUAGGCAUGUAGACAUGGUCAAGACAAUCUCCUGCAGUUCAAACCGAGCAUCAGUAUGGGGAAGAAAGGUGAUUUGAGUGACUUUGAACGUGGCAUGGUUGUUGGUGCCAGAAGGGCUGGUCUGAGUAUUUCAGAAACUGCUGAUCUACUGGGAUUUUCACGCACAACCAUCUCUAGGGUUUACAGAGAAUGGUCCGAAAAAGAAAAAAUAUCCAGUGAGCGGCAGUUCUGUGGGCGGAAAUGACUUGUUGAUGCCAGAGGUCAGAGGAGAAUGGCCAGACUGGUUCGAGCUGAUAGAAAGGCAACAGUGACUCAAAUAACCACCCGUUACAACCAAGGUAGGCAGAAGAGCAUCUCUGAACGCACAGUACGUCGAACUUUGAGGCAGAUGGGCUACAGCAGCAGAAGACCACACCGGGUGCCACUCCUUUCAGCUAAGAACAGGAAACUGAGGCAACAAUUUGCACAAGCUCAUCGAAAUUGGACAAUAGAAGAUUGGAAAAACGUUGCCUGGUCUGAUGAGUCUCGAUUUCUGCUGCGACAUUUGGAUGGUAGGGUCAGAAUUUGGCGUCAACAACAUGAAAGCAUGGAUCCAUCCUGCCUUGUAUCAACGGUUCAGGCUGGUGGUGGUGGUGUCAUGGUGUGGGGAAUAUUUUCUUGGCACUCUUUGGGCCCCUUGGUACCAAUUGAGCAUCGUUGCAACGCCACAGCCUACCUGAGUAUUGUUGCUGACCAUGUCCAUCCCUUUAUGACCACAAUGUACCCAACUUCUGAUGGCUACUUUCAGCAGGAUAAUGCGCCAUGUCAUAAAGCUGGAAUCAUCUCAGACUGGUUUCUUGAACAUGACAAUGAGUUCACUGUACUCAAAUGGCCUCCACAGUCACCAGAUCUCAAUCCAAUAGAGCAUCUUUGGGAUGAGGUGGAACGGGAGAUUCGCAUCAUGGAUGUGCAGCCGACAAAUCUGCGGCAACUGUGUGAUGCCAUCAUGUCAAUAUGGACCAAGCUCUCUGAGGAAUGCUUCCAGCACCUUGUUGAAUCUAUGCCACGAAGAAUUGAGGCAGUUCUGAAGGCAAAAGGGGGUCCAACCCGUCACUAGCAUGGUGUACCUAAUAAAGUGGCCGGUGAGUGUACAUGAACUUUAAGUAAAGAGAUCCAUGUUCAGUCCGCGUUUUCAUGGCCCCAGCUGAAUCCAGUUGUAUUGUAUUGUAUCAAUGGGAAUCGUUAAUAGGAACCAUUGUUUUAGUUCCGUUUUAGAGUUGUGCACGGACGUGUUUGUGUGUGACACCGCCGGAGUUACCAGACCGAGCAGAGUAAGGAACCCUGUGUGUUGAAGUUUAAUAAAAGUAUAAUCCAGCCGGGUUACACAGCAAGAAGUGUACGCUUCGUCAGUCGCACGAAACGACACACUUUAACACGCCACCGUCCAGUUUUUCUGUUUGUUCGCCAUGUUUGUUUUCGUUUGGGCGCGCUCUGCGUACGUCACUACGUGCCUCUUACGUACUACGGAGCGCCUGCGCAGACCGAACAAGCCUCUCCGUAAACCCAAUCCGCUCCACUCAGCCGUAUAUAUGGAGCAUGGAGCGGAUUAUCAAUCGGUGUAGACUACUUCUUACAAUCCGACCCGAAAUACAGUCAGAUCCGGGUGAAUCAGACUGGCUAAGGUGUUUAUAUGAGACAUUUUGAAUCUGAUUGACCUUUCAAUCUGAUUGUAAAUAGGAUUUUUGGACCCAUGUAAACGGGGCCAGUGACGGCAACAGCGGCUGAGAAGACUAGAAAACCGACUGAAGAGAAGGAGAGGGAUUCUGGGAACUUUAAAGGCAGUAAAGGUUGUUUCAACUGCAUGUAACUGAUUUAUAUGGAAAUACUGAAGAUUAAAAUGUUUGUUACAUGAAGUUUAGAAUGUUUGAGAAAUAAAGUUUAAAAUAUUUGAUACAUGAAGUUUAGAAUGUUUAGAAUGUUUGAUACAUCCAAAUUUAGAAUGUUUGAAUCAAUGAAGUUUGGAAUGUUUAAUAAAUGAACUUUAGAAUGUUUGAUACAGACACACACACACACACUCUUCAAUUUGGAGUUUGUUGAACCUCUAACAGCUCCAAGGUUUGAGAGCGGACUGAAAUACCUCUGAUAUUCUCGGUUAUUUUCAAACACGGUCUUGUCAGGUCUGCGUUGGACUGCGGCGUUUCAAUUCUCUUUACACGUCAGAACUUUAUUUUAAUCAAGCAGGCGGCGUUAAGACGCCCUGCAGAGAAUCAUUACCAUCCUCCUUUCAUCCCGCCUUUAUUUCCCAGCAGCCACUGCUGUUUGUUUCUCUAAAUAACUCUGAGAAAUCUGAAGAGGAGGCUGAGUGUGUGUGUGUUUGUGUGUAUAUCUGUGUGUGUAUCUGUGUGUGUGUGCGGUAGAUUCCUUUGAUACCAGAUUAGCGAGUAUUCUCAGAGCUGAUCCAGGUGGGUGUUGGACAUGAUCCUGUCCUCGUCUUUUCUGCUCCUGAUGUCCAAAGACUUGAACAAACGUGAACGCGUCUUUAUUCAGCCGUUUUGUUUUUUUAACAUUCGUCCCCGACCGUAAUCAGAUGAGACAGGAAGCUGGCGAGCAUCUGUCCCGCUGAGCUGUCCUUAAAAACCACCAUCCCUCCCUCUGACUCAGACUCUGGAACAAAGCUCCCACGAUACUGAACCUUUGUUUUCUUGAUCAGAAAAAUCAGGAUGUUGGCGGGAGGAUUACACCGACCAAUCUCAGUUGACUGAUAAUCCAGUGUUUGCCUCUAAGCCCAAUCUCACUGCAGCGUCGACAGCUAACCUCUGAGCAGUGUUGCCAUUGUAGUGACUCGGUUGCUAUAUUUAGCGAGUUUUCAGACCCCUAUGAACCUGCGUUAGGGCCAGAAAAAACAUUAUUGUCUCACAUCGCCACUGACAGUUUUUUUUUUCUAUCGUCUCUUUUUGGUCCAUUUAGAUUUAGGUUGUACAAACUGUUUAAGAUAUUAUAUUUAAAAUGUCGAGGCUUUACUGCGAUUAGUCCUUUUUAAAACCAAACAAAACUUUCAAAAACUUAAAAAACAAACAACAAAAAAAAAACCUCAGUAACUCCUCCAAAUUGUCUUGAUUGGGUUAUAUUUGCCGAUGGUCCCAAACC